RNAcentral lists this ribosomal RNA (253 nucleotides) under uncultured bacterium. RNAcentral's name for it is "partial 16S ribosomal RNA". It matches the Rfam family "Bacterial small subunit ribosomal RNA", at positions 524 to 776 of the family's 1533-position model. The record is from RNAcentral.
UACGGGGGGGGCAAGCGUUGUUCGGAAUUACUGGGCGUAAAGGGCUCGUAGGCGGCCAACUAAGUCGGACGUGAAAUCCCCAGGCUUAACUUGGGAACUGCGUCUGAUACUGGAAGGCUUGAGUGCGGGAGAGGUGAGUGGAACUGCGAGUGUAGAGGUGAAAUUCGUAGAUAUUCGCAAGAACACCAGUGGCGAAGGCGGCUCACUGGCCCGGUACUGACGCUGAGGUGCGAAAGCGUGGGGAGCAAACAGG